GACGAACGCUGGCGGCGUGCCUAAUACAUGCAAGUAGAACGCUGAAGGAGGAGCUUGCUCUUCUGGAUGAGUUGCGAACGGGUGAGUAACACGUAGGUAACCUGCCUGGUAGCGGGGGAUAACUAUUGGAAACGAUAGCUAAUACCGCAUAACAGUAGAUGUUGCAUGACAUUUACUUAAAAGGUGCAAUUGCAUCACUACCAGAUGGACCUGCGUUGUAUUAGCUAGUUGGUGGGGUAACGGCUCACCAAGGCGACGAUACAUAGCCGACCUGAGAGGGUGAUCGGCCACACUGGGACUGAGACACGGCCCAGACUCCUACGGGAGGCAGCAGUAGGGAAUCUUCGGCAAUGGACGGAAGUCUGACCGAGCAACGCCGCGUGAGUGAAGAAGGUUUUCGGAUCGUAAAGCUCUGUUGUAAGAGAAGAACGAGUGUGAGAGUGGAAAGUUCACACUGUGACGGUAUCUUACCAGAAAGGGACGGCUAACUACGUG
RNAcentral lists this ribosomal RNA (495 nucleotides) under uncultured bacterium. RNAcentral's name for it is "partial 16S ribosomal RNA". It matches the Rfam family "Bacterial small subunit ribosomal RNA", at positions 28 to 507 of the family's 1533-position model. The record is from RNAcentral.